Molecule: RNA transcript, 626 nt
Organism: Aethalodelphis obliquidens (Pacific white-sided dolphin)
Lineage: Eukaryota; Metazoa; Chordata; Mammalia; Artiodactyla; Delphinidae
Gene name: 60S ribosomal protein L17 pseudogene
Exons: 1
Source: RefSeq, a predicted model, not a curated record
AGCUUUUCCGGUCAGCGGCCUGAGGUGACCUCUAAAAAUGGUUCGCUAUUCACUUGACCCAGAAAAUCCCACAAAAUCAUGCAAGUCGAGAGGUUCAAAUCUUCGUGUUCACUUUAAGAACACUCGUGAAACAGCCCAGGCCAUUAAGGGUAUGCAUAUCCGAAAAGCCACUAAGUAUCUGAAGGAUGUCACUUUAAAGAAGCAGUGUGUGCCAUUCCGUCGCUACAAUGGUGGAGUUGGUAGGUGUGCCCAGGCCAAACAGUGGGGCUGGACGCAGGGUCGGUGGCCCAAAAAGACUGCUGAAUUUUUACUGCACAUGCUCAAAAAUGCAGAGAGUAAUGCUGAACUUAAGGGCUUAGAUGUAGAUUCUCUGGUCAUUGAGCACAUCCAGGUGAACAAAGCCCCCAAGAUGCGGCGCAGGACUUAUAGAGCUCAUGGUCGGAUCAACCCAUACAUGAGCUCUCCGUGCCACAUUGAGAUGAUCCUUACUGAAAAAGAACAGAUUGUUCCUAAACCAGAAGAGGAGGUUGCCCAGAAGAAAAAGAUAUCCCAGAAGAAAUUGAAGAAACAAAAACUUAUGGCCCGGGAAUAAAUGCUGCAAAAAAUAAAUGCAAAUGAAAGUAAAA